GGACAGCCACAGAUGUAAGGAGGAAUGGAACCCGUAGAAGGUUGACAGACUCCUCCAUUUUGACAUUGGUUACUAGCACACGGGUCAAAAGCUGAUGACAAAAAGAUUUUCGGACUUGCUCGACUCUUCUGCCAGAGAAUCCUGUAUCCGCCACUAAAGCAAACCAUAUACUCACCUUGAAUAAGAGAUGAUGUCACAUUUACCCAGAAAACGCUGUACUCUCUAACAAAGGCAAUACUUACGCGAUGUACAUGUCACCAUUACCAAGAGUUGGUGCAGUCCAAAGAAAGGAAGUCGUCGAUGCCUUGUCCAGUCUGUUCCGAUGAGUGACAGCACCGUCCGUUUGGCCACAGGAGACUGUCUGGAAGUUGGUCGCGUCCGUGGCUGACCAAGAACCGAUGACAUCGUUGGUGUCCACUCUACGUGCUAGGAGAAGUAUCCCCUUAUACUGUCCAGCACCAGGGCUUGUAUUGAUA
Strongylocentrotus purpuratus (purple sea urchin) is the source of this 476-nucleotide long non-coding RNA. RefSeq lists it as uncharacterized. The transcript is spliced from 3 exons. Lineage: Eukaryota; Metazoa; Echinodermata; Echinoidea; Camarodonta; Strongylocentrotidae. The record is from RefSeq and is a predicted model, not a curated record.